RNAcentral lists this ribosomal RNA (440 nucleotides) under uncultured bacterium. Its description in RNAcentral is "partial 16S ribosomal RNA". It matches the Rfam family "Bacterial small subunit ribosomal RNA", at positions 338 to 795 of the family's 1533-position model. The record is from RNAcentral.
CCUACGGGGGGCAGCAGUGGGGGAUAUUGCACAAUGGGGGAAACCCUGAUGCAGCGACGCCGCGUGUGGGAAGACGGUCCUCUGGAUUGUAAACCACUGUCCCCAGGGACGAAGAUGACGGUACCUGGGGAGGAAGCUCCGGCUAACAACGUGCCAGCAGCCGCGGUAAUACGUAGGGCGCGAGCGUUGUCCGGAAUUACUGGGUGUAAAGGGAGCGUAGGCGGGGAUGCAAGUUGGGUGUCAAAACUACCGGCUCAACUGGUAGUCGCACUCAAAACUGCAGCUCUUGAGUGAAGUAGAGGCAGGCGGAAGUCCUAGUGUAGCGGGGAAAUGCGUAGAUAUUAGGAGGAACACCAGUGGCGAAGGCGGCUCACUGGACUGCAACUGACACUGAGGCUCGAAAGUGUGGGUAUCAAACAGGAUUAGAUACCCUAGUAGUC